GAGGUGAAUCCAGGGCUCACCCUGGAACUGCCUCUAAAACUGUUAGUCUUGAGAUCGAGAGAGGUGAGUGGAAUUCCAAGUGUAGAGGUGAAAUUCGUAGAUAUUUGGAGGAACACCAGUGGCGAAGGCGGCUCACUGGCUCGAUACUGACA
Molecule: ribosomal RNA, 152 nt
Filed under: uncultured bacterium
Lineage: Bacteria
Description: partial 16S ribosomal RNA
Rfam family: Bacterial small subunit ribosomal RNA
Source: RNAcentral